GAUCCUGGCUCAGAUUGAACGCUGGCGGAAUGCUUUACACAUGCAAGUCGAACGGCAGCGACGGGGCAACCUGGUGGCGAGUGGCGAACGGGUGAGUAAUGCAUCGGAACGUGCCAUUGAGUGGGGAUAACGUAGCGAAAGUUGCGCUAAUACCGCAUAUUCUGUGAGCAGGAAAGCAGGGGACCGCAAGGCCUUGCGCUCUUUGAGCGGCCGAUGUCAGAUUAGCUAGUUGGUGAGGUAACGGCUUACCAAGGCGACGAUCUGUAGCGGGUCUGAGAGGAUGAUCCGCCACACUGGAACUGAGACACGGUCCAGACUCCUACGGGAGGCAGCAGUGGGGAAUUUUGGACAAUGGGCGCAAGCCUGAUCCAGCCAUGCCGCGUGAGUGAAGAAGGCCUUCGGGUUGUAAAGCUCUUUCGGCCGGGAAGAAAUCGCAUGGGUUAAUACCCUGUGUGGAUGACGGUACCGGAAUAAGAAGCACCGGCUAACUACGUG
Molecule: ribosomal RNA, 495 nt
Filed under: uncultured bacterium
Lineage: Bacteria
Description: bacterial SSU rRNA
Rfam family: Bacterial small subunit ribosomal RNA
Source: RNAcentral